RNAcentral lists this ribosomal RNA (506 nucleotides) under uncultured Lachnospiraceae bacterium. RNAcentral describes it as "partial 16S ribosomal RNA". Lineage: Bacteria; Bacillati; Bacillota; Clostridia; Lachnospirales; Lachnospiraceae. The record is from RNAcentral.
CACGUAUUUAGCCGGAGCUUCUUAGUCAGGUACCGUCACUUUCUUCCCUGCUGAUAGGGCUUUACAUACCGAAAUACUUCUUCGCCCACGCGGCGUUGCUGCAUCAGGGUUCCCCCCCAUUGUGCAAUAUUCCCCACUGCUGCCUCCCGUAGGAGUCUGGGCCGUGUCUCAGUCCCAAUGUGGCCGUCCACUCUCUCAAGCCGGCUACUGAUCGCUGCCUUGGUAGGCCGUUACCCCGCAACUAGCUAAUCAGACGCGGGCCCAUCCUGUACCACCGGAGUUUUCCCCGCAGCGCCAUGCGGCACCGCGGGCUUAUGCGGUAUUAGCAGCCGUUUCCAGCUGUUGUCCCCCUGUACAGGGCAGGUUACCCACGCGUUACUCACCCGUCCGCCACUAGGCUGUAUGCUGCUUCCGCCCGAAAGCUUCCGCUGCAUACGCCCCGUUCGACUUGCUAUGUGUUAGGCACGCCGCCAGCGUUCAUCCUGACGCCAGGACUCAAACUCUCG